GGUCUCGUAGCUGAGUUGUUCAAGGCGUUGGCCGCACUAGGCUUUCCCUUUACUGGCGUGGGUUCGAAUCUCACCGAGGCCG
This 82-nucleotide transfer RNA is filed under the name Schistocephalus solidus. It matches the Rfam family "tRNA". Rfam says of the family: Transfer RNA (tRNA) molecules are approximately 80 nucleotides in length. Their secondary structure includes four short double-helical elements and three loops (D, anti-codon, and T loops). Lineage: Eukaryota; Metazoa; Platyhelminthes; Cestoda; Diphyllobothriidea; Diphyllobothriidae. The record is from Rfam by way of RNAcentral.